UACGUAGGUCCCGAGCGUUGUCCGGAUUUAUUGGGCGUAAAGCGAGCGCAGGCGGUUCUUUAAGUCUGAAGUUAAAGGCAGUGGCUUAACCAUUGUACGCUUUGGAAACUGGAGGACUUGAGUGCAGAAGGGGAGAGUGGAAUUCCAUGUGUAGCGGUGAAAUGCGUAGAUAUAUGGAGGAACACCGGUGGCGAAAGCGGCUCUCUGGUCUGUAACUGACGCUGAGGCUCGAAAGCGUGGGGAGCAAACAGG
This 252-nucleotide ribosomal RNA is filed under the name Streptococcus agalactiae ATCC 13813. RNAcentral's name for it is "partial 16S ribosomal RNA". It matches the Rfam family "Bacterial small subunit ribosomal RNA", at positions 524 to 776 of the family's 1533-position model. The record is from RNAcentral. Lineage: Bacteria; Bacillati; Bacillota; Bacilli; Lactobacillales; Streptococcaceae. RNAcentral also lists the same sequence under 3 other names.